AGCGAACGCUGGCGGCAGGCUUAACACAUGCAAGUCGAACGGUCCUUCGGGAUAGUGGCGGACGGGUGAGUAACACGUGGGAACGUACCUUAGGUUCGGAACAACACAGGGAAACUUGUGCUAAUACCGGAUAAGCCCUUCGGGGGAAAGAUUUAUCGCCUUUGGAGCGGCCCGCGUCUGAUUAGCUUGUUGGUGAGGUAAUGGCUCACCAAGGCUACGAUCAGUAGCUGGUCUGAGAGGUUGGCCAGCCACACUGGGACUGAGACACGGCCCAGACUCCUACGGGAGGCAGCAGUGGGGAAUCUUGCGCAAUGGGCGAAAGCCUGACGCAGCCAUGCCGCGUGGAUGAUGAAGGUCUUAGGAUUGUAAAAUCCUUUCACCGGGGACGAUAAUGACGGUACCCGGAGAAGAAGCCCCGGCUAACUUCGUGCCAGCCGCCGCAGUAA
RNAcentral lists this ribosomal RNA (446 nucleotides) under uncultured bacterium. Its description in RNAcentral is "partial 16S ribosomal RNA". It matches the Rfam family "Bacterial small subunit ribosomal RNA", at positions 29 to 523 of the family's 1533-position model. The record is from RNAcentral.